Molecule: ribosomal RNA, 492 nt
Filed under: uncultured bacterium
Lineage: Bacteria
Description: partial 16S ribosomal RNA
Rfam family: Bacterial small subunit ribosomal RNA
Source: RNAcentral
AGUGAACGCUGGCGGUAGGCCUAACACAUGCAAGUCGAACGGCAGCACAGUAAGAGCUUGCUCUUACGGGUGGCGAGUGGCGGACGGGUGAGGAAUACAUCGGAAUCUACUUUUUCGUGGGGGAUAACGUAGGGAAACUUACGCUAAUACCGCAUACGACCUACGGGUGAAAGCAGGGGAUCUUCGGACCUUGCGCGAUUGAAUGAGCCGAUGUCGGAUUAGCUAGUUGGCGGGGUAAAGGCCCACCAAGGCGACGAUCCGUAGCUGGUCUGAGAGGAUGAUCAGCCACACUGGAACUGAGACACGGUCCAGACUCCUACGGGAGGCAGCAGUGGGGAAUAUUGGACAAUGGGCGAAAGCCUGAUCCAGCCAUACCGCGUGGGUGAAGAAGGCCUUCGGGUUGUAAAGCCCUUUUGUUGGGAAAGAAAAGCAGCAGGUUAAUACCCCGCUGUUCUGACGGUACCCAAAGAAUAAGCACCGGCUAACUCCGUG